GUAAAUAUACAUCAGCGCUUUUUAUUUGAUUGUCGGCGCAGUCCGCUAGGGUUUUGCCGAGGUUCCUCCGUGGCGACGAGCAAGAUCGAGACGGCGUAAACGCUCAUGGAGAAGGCGUCGGCGCUGCUCUUCUCUGGCGUCCGCGUCGACCGAAAGCGUUUCGCCCUGGAGAUUGCCCGAUUCCAGCAGCCGAAGAAAGAACUGGAAGAUGUUGAGUGCAUGGCUGAUUCAGCGCCGGAAGCCUUGCCGGAUGUUAAGGCGAACAAGAAGGGGAAGAAGCGGAAGCGCAAGGAUAAGGACUCUUGUGAUGCUGUGGAGGGGUUCAGUGUGUUCAAGAAUUCCGAGUCUGUGUCCUCUAUUCUAGAAAGAAAUGCUUUGGAGGCAACUUCUGCUGAGAUGAAAAAGGACGUGGAAAAAGAGAUUGAGAAAGCUUCUGUUCUGCGUAAGAAGCAUGGAAUUCACAUUUCAGGACAUGGUGUUCCUCCCCCGCUUGAGAGUUUUGCAGAGCUAAGCUCAAGGUAUAACUGCAAACCAUAUAUUUUGCGUAACUUUUCUGAACUUGGUUUUCGAGAGCCUACACCUAUUCAGAGGCAGGCUAUUCCAGUACUCCUUUCUAAAAGGGACUGCUUUGCAUGUGCACCAACUGGUUCUGGCAAGACAUUGGCGUUUUUAUGUCCAAUGCUUAUGAAGAUUAAGCCAGGGUUAAAGAAUGGCGUACAAGCUGUUGUUCUCUGCCCUACUAGAGAAUUAGCUGCUCAAACUGCUAGAGAGUGCAAGAAGCUGGCUACGGGGAGGAAAUUUUACAUCAAGUUAAUGACUAAGGAGCUCUCCAGAUGUGGUGAUUUUGAAAAAAUGCCCUGUGAUAUAAUCAUAUCCACUCCUCUCCGGUUGGACUUAGCUAUUUGCAAAAGGAAGCUUGACUUGAGUUGGGUUAAAUAUCUUGUCUUGGAUGAAGCUGAUAAGCUUUUCGAGCUAGGUUUUGUAGAACAAAUUGAUUCUGUGGUCAAAGCCUGUUCAAAAACUACUGUAGUACGUACACUGUUCAGUGCGACUUUGCCUGAAACUGUUGAAAAACUUGCAAGCACAGUUAUGGUUGAUGCAGUUCGAAUCAUCAUUGGUAGAAAAAAUUCUGCCUCCGAGAUGAUUAAGCAAAAGCUUGUUUUUGCUGGUAGUGAAAAAGGGAAAUUGCUUGCUAUUCGUCAAAGCUUUUCAGAGAGUCUGAAUCCUCCAGUGCUAGUGUUUGUUCAAAGCAAAGAAAGAGCGAAGGAACUUUACAAGGAAUUAACAUUUGAUGACAUAAAAGUUGAUGUUAUUCAUGCAGACCUUUCCCAGCAGCAGCGAGAAGAUGCAGUCGAUAACUUCAGAUCGGGCAAGACAUGGGUUCUGAUAGCAACUGAUGUUGUUUCUCGGGGUAUGGAUUUUAAGGGGAUCAACUGUGUGAUCAACUAUGAUUUUCCUGAAUCAGCUGCAGCAUAUAUUCAUAGAAUUGGUCGAUCUGGACGAGCUGGAAGACCCGGAGAAGCUGUAACAUUCUUCACUGAAGAGGAUAAGCCUUUUCUGAGGAACAUAGCCAAUGUGAUGGCAGCAUCCGGCUGUGAGGUUCCUUCCUGGAUUCUAGCUUUGCCCAAGCUCAGAAAAAGAAAGCACCGACCACAGAGAGACUCGAUAUCAACCAUUCCCGAUGACAGUGCCUAGUAAAAGAAAUGCUGCAGUAUGUUCUAAAGCAUCAGGUUCAUUGCUCCCAUCCUUCCCGAGAGUCUACUGCUGUAGUUUUCAUCAGCAUUUUGACCCUUCAAUGCCAUCACUGAGUUUGCGGACGAAGAUUGCGAUUCAGGGAAACAGGCUUCAAACAGGACUGAUAAAAAUGUUUAUAUGUACUUCAUAACUUAAGAUUUUUAAGAUCAUGUUUUGAGUUAGAACAUUGAGCUAAGAAGUGUAACAGAAGGAAGAAAAGCAGUGCUUUAAUUAGGCACUUGGGUGUGGCAA
Musa acuminata subsp. malaccensis (wild Malaysian banana) is the source of this 1986-nucleotide RNA transcript. It is a transcript of the gene named DEAD-box ATP-dependent RNA helicase 57, with no coding region annotated. NCBI's taxonomy places the organism in Eukaryota, Viridiplantae, Streptophyta, Magnoliopsida, Zingiberales, Musaceae. The record is from RefSeq and is a predicted model, not a curated record.